CAUUUAGGCAUGAAUUGGGCAAAAAAUAGCUCCCGGCGGGUGGGGCGGGGAGACUCUUUAGCCCCAACUUUGCGUAUGGUGGAGAUAGAGUGGGGGGAGGGUUACAAAGUGUUGAGCCUGUGGGGUCAGGGCUGCGCUGGACCUGCUCCAGCCUAAUCUCACCUCCUGCCUUGAGCCUCCAGCUGCCUACUGUGUGGUCCGAUGCAGCAGGGGUGGGACACAGAGGGUGACCUAGAGUGACAACCAACCUUUGCCCCUUACUCUUCUGGACCGUAAGGGUUAGCAAGAAAUCACAGAGCUUAACGUCACCGAAGCCAAAACAAACAACCACAGAAGAAAAAUAAACAUCCCGUCAAAAGCCAGGGCCCUGCAUUUCAUGAAGUCUUUGAUUCCCAUUUUUUAUUCUUAAGAAUCAGAUGGAUGUGUCUGGUUUCCCAGGUGCUGGCCACACCCAGGCCGCCUCCUAGACACACCUGUGUAACCGGAGCCAGGCUUGGGAGAUGGGCAGGUGACCCCAAGCGCUCCUCUUUGUUCCCAGCAACAACAGGUAUUAUGUGGCCUCGGGCACGGAGCUGCCUGAUCAGCUUGAUUUACAACCCGAAACCACCCCACCUCCUCCCGGUCUGUUCCUGAGGUUUACAUAACACAGGUCCUGGGGUAGGACCUGUUCUCGCUGCCCAGAGUCAAGACUGGGGACAUUCUGGCUCUGUACCUCCAGGUUCUCCAGGCGCCUAGAUAUCCCUUUAAAAAAUUCUACAAGUUGGAGUUCCUGUUGCGGCUCAGCAGGUUGAGAACCUGACUGGUACCCAUGAAGAUGCAGGUUCUAUCCCUGGCCUUGCUCAUGAGUUAAGGAUUCCUCGCUGCUGUGAGCUGUGGUGUAGGUCAAAGAUGCAGCCUGGAUCCUGCAUCACUGUGGCUGUGGCUGGCAGCUGCAGCUCUGAUUCGACCCCUAGCCUGGGAACUUCCACAUGCUGCAGGUACAGCCCUAAAAAGCAAAAAAAAAAANAAAAAAAAAAAAAAAAAAA
Molecule: long non-coding RNA, 1025 nt
Filed under: Sus scrofa (pig)
Lineage: Eukaryota; Metazoa; Chordata; Mammalia; Artiodactyla; Suidae
Description: lncRNA (ENSSSCG00045021515.1)
Source: RNAcentral